CCUACGGGAGGCAGCAGUGAGGAAUAUUGGUCAAUGGGCGUAAGCCUGAACCAGCCAAGUCGCGUGAGGGAUGAAGGUUCUAUGGAUCGUAAACCUCUUUUAUAAGGGAAUAAAGUGUGGGACGUGUCCUGUUUUGUAUGUACCUUAUGAAUAAGGAUCGGCUAACUCCGUGCCAGCAGCCGCGGUAAUACGGAGGAUGCGAGCGUUAUCCGGAUUUAUUGGGUUUAAAGGGUGCGCAGGCGGGCUGUUAAGCCGGCGGUAAAAAUUCAGGGCUCAACCCUGUCGAGCCGUCGGAACUGGCAGUCUUGAGUGGGCGAGAAGUAUGCGGAAUGCGUGGUGUAGCGGUGAAAUGCAUAGAUAUCACGCAGAACGCCGAUUGCGAAGGCAGCAUACCGGCGCCCAACUGACGCUGAGGCACGAAAGCGUGGGGAUCGAACAGGAUUAGAUACCCGAGUAGUC
This 459-nucleotide ribosomal RNA is filed under the name uncultured bacterium. RNAcentral describes it as "partial 16S ribosomal RNA". It matches the Rfam family "Bacterial small subunit ribosomal RNA", at positions 338 to 795 of the family's 1533-position model. The record is from RNAcentral.